CACAAAUAUAAUAAUAGAUGGCGCUAUAUAGCUUUUAGAAACGUUCUGACAAACGAACCUUAUGUUUGCAAAUCAAAAUGACAUUGUAAACAUUUCAAAUAAAUUAUUAUGAUUCAUUUUCGUUAUUUAUAUGGUGGAUGUUGCUUUUGAAAAUGGCUUUAGAUCCCAUCUCAGCACUUUUGUUAGGGAGUUGCAUUAUGGGCUGUUGGCCAUGCUUACUACCGUGUUGCUUCACGCUACCGCUACUGUCCUUUCCUUUGAUAAUCGUACGUGAAUCACAGCCAAAUGACGGACAAGAAACGACAAGUAAUACAUACAAUUUAUUUUGGUCGAAAAGUGGAUUUGUAGUGAAGAAAAAGAAGUCAGUGAACAAAAAAAAACAAAUAUAAACAUUUUGUACCUA
Bombyx mori (domestic silkworm) is the source of this 403-nucleotide long non-coding RNA. RefSeq lists it as uncharacterized. The record is from RefSeq and is a predicted model, not a curated record. Lineage: Eukaryota; Metazoa; Arthropoda; Insecta; Lepidoptera; Bombycidae. The transcript is spliced from 3 exons.